Long non-coding RNA from Cotesia glomerata, 445 nucleotides. RefSeq lists it as uncharacterized. The record is from RefSeq and is a predicted model, not a curated record. NCBI's taxonomy places the organism in Eukaryota, Metazoa, Arthropoda, Insecta, Hymenoptera, Braconidae. The transcript has 2 exons.
UAAUAAUUGAUGAUUUUUACUUAUUUAAUAAAACAAAGUAAUAAAAUGACUUUGGUAUUUAUUACUUGCCGGAGUAAAUAAACAGGCUUGGCAACAGCGCGUUUGAUUAUACCCACUAUACAGGGACGUGCAUGAGUGUGUGAGUUAACCAAAAUGCGUUGUCGUUACAAAGGAAAAUUAACUAAAAAAAAUAUAGCUCAGUGGAAAAAAAAUGUGAUUGCGAGCAAUAAAGCUCGAAAAAAAAAUAAGGAAAAUGCCGAAAAUACAAACUUUAUUGAACUAAGAAAAAAGAAAACGGUGGCUUAUCUGUGCAUAUGAUUAAAAAAAUGGCAAUGACUGGAAUAACUUUCGAUACUGUAAGUAAGUGCUUCAAAUCGAGUGGUCCUAAAGGUAUAAGAAUACUUUUGGCACAAGAUGUAGGUGGAAAACCUCGUAUUACGAAAAG